This 376-nucleotide ribosomal RNA is filed under the name uncultured bacterium. Its description in RNAcentral is "bacterial SSU rRNA". It matches the Rfam family "Bacterial small subunit ribosomal RNA", at positions 523 to 898 of the family's 1533-position model. The record is from RNAcentral.
AUACGUAGGGAGCGAGCGUUGUCCGGAUUUACUGGGUGUAAAGGGUGCGUAGGCGGCUCGGCAAGUCAGGGGUGAAAACCAUCGGCUUAACUGAUGGACUGCAUUUGAAAAUGUGGGGCUUGAGGGGAGUAGAGGCAGACGGAAUUCCCGGUGUAGCGGUGAAAUGCGUAGAGAUCGGGAAGAACACCAGUGGCGAAGGCGGUCUGCUGGGCUCUAACUGACGCUGAGGCACGAAAGCAUGGGUAGCAAACAUGAUUAGAUACCCUGGUAGUCCAUGCCGUAAACGAUGAUUACUAGGUGUGGGGAGUCUGACCCUCUCCGUGCCGGAGUUAACACAAUAAGUAAUCCACCUGGGAAGUACGACCGCAAGGUUGAA